Molecule: ribosomal RNA, 439 nt
Filed under: uncultured bacterium
Lineage: Bacteria
Description: partial 16S ribosomal RNA
Rfam family: Bacterial small subunit ribosomal RNA
Source: RNAcentral
CUACGGGGGGCUCCAGUGAGGAAUAUUGCACAAUGGGGGGAACCCUGAUGCAGCAACGCCGCGUGGAGGAUGACGCAUUUCGGUGUGUAAACUCCUUUUAUAUGUCAAGAAAAUGACGGUAGCAUAUGAAUAAGCACCGGCUAACUCCGUGCCAGCAGCCGCGGUAAUACGGAGGGUGCAAGCGUUACUCGGGAUCACUGGGCGUAAAGGACGCGUAGGCGGGUUGGAAAGUCAGGUGUGAAAUCCUACAGCUUAACUGUAGAACUGCACUUGAAACUUCUAAUCUAGAGUAUGGGAGGGGGAGAUGGAAUUAGUGGUGUAGGGGUAAAAUCCGUAGAUAUCACUAGGAAUACCUAAAGCGAAGGCGAUCUCCUGGAACAUUGCUGACGCUAAGGCGUGAAAGCGUGGGGAGCAAACAGGAUUAGAUACCCCGGUAGUC